AUGAACGCUGGCGGCGUGCCUAAUACAUGCAAGUCGAGCGAACGGACGAGAAGCUUGCUUCUCUGAUGUUAGCGGCGGACGGGUGAGUAACACGUGGAUAACCUACCUAUAAGACUGGGAUAACUUCGGGAAACCGGAGCUAAUACCGGAUAAUAUUUUGAACCGCAUGGUUCAAAAGUGAAAGACGGUCUUGCUGUCACUUAUAGAUGGAUCCGCGCUGCAUUAGCUAGUUGGUAAGGUAACGGCUUACCAAGGCAACGAUGCAUAGCCGACCUGAGAGGGUGAUCGGCCACACUGGAACUGAGACACGGUCCAGACUCCUAAGGGAGGCAGCAGUAGGGAAUCUUCCGCAAUGGGCGAAAGCCUGACGGAGCAACGCCGCGUGAGUGAUGAAGGUCUUCGGAUCGUAAAACUCUGUUAUUAGGGAAGAACAUAUGUGUAAGUAACUGUGCACAUCUUGACGGUACCUAAUCAGAAAGCCACGGCUAACUACGUG
This 496-nucleotide ribosomal RNA is filed under the name uncultured bacterium. RNAcentral describes it as "partial 16S ribosomal RNA". It matches the Rfam family "Bacterial small subunit ribosomal RNA", at positions 29 to 507 of the family's 1533-position model. The record is from RNAcentral.